Molecule: long non-coding RNA, 1648 nt
Filed under: Gossypium barbadense (sea-island cotton)
Lineage: Eukaryota; Viridiplantae; Streptophyta; Magnoliopsida; Malvales; Malvaceae
Description: long non-coding RNA (GBAR_LNC020114)
Source: RNAcentral
AAAAUGUUGGCCAAAGAGUCGGGUGGUUCCACCUUCGAUCUUCCCGAGGAAUUAUUGCAAGUAUUACCCUCCGAUCCUUUUGAUCAACUCGAUGUGGCCCGUAAGAUCACCUCCAUUGCUCUCUCCACCCGCGUGUCUUUACUCGAAGCCGAGUCUUCUUCUCUUCGAGACAAGCUCACCGAGAAAGACCAACAAAUCGCCGACUUGUGUGCCCAGAUCGAUGCUCUCGAGACUUCUUUGUCUGAAACCUCGAAUAAGCUCGUUAUGGCCGACCAAGAAAAGGUACGUUCCAUCUGGUUUGCUGUCUUUAAUUUGUUUCUUCCUUUUUUUAGAAUUUUAAUGAUUCAAUUGUCUUUCCUUUUUUUGUUCUUUGGUAGGAGAGCUUGUUGAAAGAUAAUGCUUCGCUUUCUAAUACUGUAAGGAAGCUUCAGAGAGAUGUUUCCAAGGUAAAUUGUUAAUUGGACCGGGGGGGGGGGGUUCACUAAAUUGUUAAUAGGACUGUUAAAAUGUUGAAGAGAAUUUUAUUUUUCAUGCAAAAUAAAGGGUUCCCAUUAAAUUUUUAUAACCAACGUGCAUUCUUAGAACCCUGAUAUGGGAAGGCAUGAGCAUUGCUUGAUGAUUUGGAAUGUUUUUCAUCUUGUGUAUUAUAUGUAUGUUGAAUUUUGAAAAUUUGAGUGUGCCCUUCAAUUGAUGUAUCUGAUCUAUCAAGGGCUUGUGUGGUUUGAGCUAAUUGGUGUUUUGGGGAAGUGGGAAGUAGUGUUAAGGGUUUUACUAGGCAAUUUAGUCUGAGGUUCGACUGUUAUGCGAUUGUGCAGUUGGAGGUCUUUAGAAGGAAGCUUAUGCAGUCACUUCAAGAGGACGAUGAAAGUUCUGUAAGUAAUUCCACUUCCAGGGAUUCCCUUUUAGAAUGAUGCUUUGAAGAUUUUUGACUUGCUAAAUCUUGUUUUCCAUACAGGCCACAGGGGGUCCUCCAAUCAUUGCGAAGCCAACACUGUCAGGUAUGUUUUUCUUUUUCCUGUUCACUCAUUUGAGCGCAUUUGAACUUCAUUUCUGUAGUGCAUCUGUGAUCUAGAUUGAACAUUCCAUGCACUAUUAGAAGUUGUCAUCCUUACAAUUCUUUGUCAGAUGCUUACGCUGCUUGUCAUUGCUUAUGAUGAUAACCCUUGGUAUCUUCCAAUUUUCCAGAAGAUGAUUCUGCCUUGAUUUCAAGAACUGCUUCAAUGCGCAGCCAGUACUCUGAUUCGGGUGCAGAGGAUCGUGACUCAGAUGGUACACUUCAGUCUUUGUUGGUUUUGCCAUAGCUGUAGAAUUUAUACCUAAAUAUGUCUCUUUCCACACACUGCACACUGAAGAUCUUUCUGUUUCCAUGAUCGCUACUGAGAGCACUGAAAUAUUUUAUUUCCCCCUUUUCUUCAUAUUGUCAUCUAUUUUCCUCACUGGGUACCAUUAUAGUGUCAGCCUCAAGACCUGGCUUACCUCAUGGCCUCCUGCUAGCAUCACAAACAAGCACACCGCGGCUAACUCCUCCGGGUUCUCCACCAAGUGUGUCAGCUUCUGUAUCCCCCACAAGGACAUCUAAGCCAGUGUCUCCUAGGAGACAUGCAGUUUCGUUUUCUACCUCAAGAGGCAUGUUUGAUGAUAGGUCAUC